UUGACCUCGGAUCAGGUAGGGAUACCCGCUGAACUUAAGCAUAUCAAUAAGCCCCGG
RNAcentral lists this ribosomal RNA (57 nucleotides) under Microstoma floccosum. RNAcentral describes it as "partial 25S ribosomal RNA". Lineage: Eukaryota; Fungi; Ascomycota; Pezizomycetes; Pezizales; Sarcoscyphaceae. The record is from RNAcentral.